Long non-coding RNA from Dendronephthya gigantea, 333 nucleotides. RefSeq lists it as uncharacterized. NCBI's taxonomy places the organism in Eukaryota, Metazoa, Cnidaria, Anthozoa, Malacalcyonacea, Nephtheidae. The transcript is spliced from 3 exons. The record is from RefSeq and is a predicted model, not a curated record.
ACACGCACGCAAUGCUUACCCUCGAUCUCGUGCAAUCAAUGACCCGGCUUGAUUACAAAUAUAGAGGACGAAUAUUCUUAAACGUAUCAUUAUUAAACCAAAAAUACUGAAGGGUGAAGAAGUAUUUGAAACUACUGCACAAUAACGUAUAAACUCGUGUAUAUUGAGCAUCAAGAACAAUGAAAUUUGCUUUUGAAGUUCUGCUGUUGCUGAUUGUUUGUACAACAUUAUUAUCAGCCAAACCACACUAUGAAAUUGAGGAAGGACGCGGUGAGAGUGAAAAGGACCAGAGAAGUGCUCAGAAUUGUUUUACUACCGGGUGUCCAUCAGCAC